This 394-nucleotide ribosomal RNA is filed under the name uncultured Anaeromyxobacter sp. RNAcentral describes it as "bacterial SSU rRNA". It matches the Rfam family "Bacterial small subunit ribosomal RNA", at positions 67 to 447 of the family's 1533-position model. Lineage: Bacteria; Pseudomonadati; Myxococcota; Myxococcia; Myxococcales; Anaeromyxobacteraceae. The record is from RNAcentral.
CGAGAAAGCCCGCAAGGGUGAGUAAAGCGGCGCACGGGUGCGUAACACGUGGGUAAUCUGCCCUGGAGUCCGGAAUAACUCGCCGAAAGGCGCGCUAAUGCCGGAUGAGACCACGGGAGCCUCGGCUCCUGCGGGAAAAGGUGGCCUCUGUAUACAAGCUAUCGCUCUAGGAUGAGCCCGCGGCCCAUCAGCUCGUUGGCGGGGUAAUGGCCCACCAAGGCUACGACGGGUAGCUGGUCUGAGAGGACGAUCAGCCACACUGGAACUGAGACACGGUCCAGACUCCUACGGGAGGCAGCAGUGGGGAAUCUUGCGCAAUGGGCGAAAGCCUGACGCAGCAACGCCGCGUGUGUGAUGAAGGUCUUCGGAUCGUAAAGCACUGUCGCGAGGGACG